Camellia sinensis is the source of this 11907-nucleotide non-coding RNA. The record is from RefSeq and is a predicted model, not a curated record. Lineage: Eukaryota; Viridiplantae; Streptophyta; Magnoliopsida; Ericales; Theaceae.
GUCAAACGAGGGGAAAAACUACGCAGACUCGUCGCAUUAUUUCAAUCCUCUCCAGUCGGAUCUACCCCAAAAUUCCGAUUCCCCAUUUUUCCACAAAGAAUCAAGAUACCCGACCCUAGAUUUCCUCCGGCGGAGAGAGAAACCCAAGUCUACCAUGGCCACCGACUCCCAAGAACCCACUCCUCGCAAGCACCGCCGUUCCUCCUCCGCCGAAGAUUCCGAUCAGCCGUCCAAACGCCGCAAGCACCGCCACCACCGCCACCACCGCCGAAAGCACGGUGAGGACGAUGCCAAAAUCGAGGAAGGAGAGGAGAUUUCUCUUCUUCCUUCUCCUCUGCCUCUUUCUAUUCUUUCGGGAUCGAAUUCUCGACCUUGUUACGAUGAUAUGGAAGAAGGAGAGAUUCUCGAAGACGAGGGCUUUGGCGGUGGUGCUGUUGUGAAUAUGGUCAAGAACAGAACUGAUUCUGAUCAUCACAACAUGGAAGUUCAUGGAGCUCAAAAUGAACUUGGACUUAAUUCUAGUGUUCCACCGGAAGGCAAAUUGGAUAGAAGUGGUAGAAAUCCAAAGUCAUUUGAUGAGGACAAGAGCGAGUCGAGGAUUUAGUGAUUAAUGCGACACUGGAUAAGUAUGUAAAUAUGAAUGAUGGUAGUAAAACCAAUAACGCGGUUGUUUUUGGGGGGAAUUCAAGUUCUGAGCAUUACAAUAAUGGGGAUAUUGGACGGGAAUCCCUUAAAGAAGACUCUUGGCCACUUACAGGAUCCCAGUCUCCUGUUAAAGGAAGUUGCAAGCAAAAAAGCUACUUUGAUGAUGAAAUCAAUUUAAGAGAUCGGAGAAAGUCAUCGUCAACAGAAAACAAAAGGGACAGACACCAAAAAACACCACGCUUGCUUUCCCAUGACCGAUACCAUGAUGAGGAUCGUAGAAGGAAUAGAUCGAAGUCACAUGAUCAUGCAAGGGAAAGGUCUCGGUCACGAAGUGUUUUAGAAGAGGCUUCUCUUAGGAAAACAACACUGCACAAUGAUGCUGCACAUUAUAUGGGUAACAGAACUAUUAGUGAUUCAGAUGAUGAUAAAAUGAUUGGACGCAAUCGGGACAACCGACAUGACAGUAGAGAUUUGCUGACAGAUAAAGAAAGGGAACGUAGUUCUAGUUAUAGCAGAUAUUCUAAGCGAGGUGAAAGACACCACAACCAAGAGGCUCAGGACAGGGAGCGGGAGGGGAGUUGGGAGACUCGGGAGAGAGAAAGGGAUGUAAGGGUGAUGGAGAGAGAUAGAAAAAGAGAGAGGGAACAGGACCGAGACAGGGAGAGGACCAAGGAGAGAGAUAGGGAGAGAGAAAGAGAGAGAGGUAGGGAUAAGGAUAGGGUUAGGGAUAGGGAGAGGAGGACAGAGAGGGAAUGGGAAAGGGAGAGUGGAAGGGAUAGCAUUAGAGACAGAGAAAGGGAUAAAGAGAGUGAUAGGGUUAGCAGGCACCGUAAUUGUGAAAAAUAUGUUGAUGAUUGUUGUGAUGAUCGAGAUAGGUAUUACGAUUACAAGCGAUGGAGACAUGAUGAAAAUGACAACAGGGCCAGAUCCAGGAAAAAUGAUCCGGAAAAAAACUAUACUGCUAAAAUUGAUUCUUUGGGUGAGGAUGAAGAGAAAUUUAAAAGAGAUGAUAAUGAACAAGAGGAGUAUCAGGAGAGGAUUGCAUUGCAACUUAUAGAUGGGGAAGAUGAAGAUCUUGACAGAAUUAAGGAGGAGAGUAGAAGGCGAAUGCAGGCUAUCCUUGAAAAAUAUAAAAUUCAGAAGUUACAGCAACAACAUGAGCCUGAUUUGUUGGAUAAGGAUAAGGAGCAUGUUGAACAAACUUCUCAGCCAGCUACUGCUCCAGAAACUCUUGAUGUUAGGCAUGAAGGGGUUGGUACCUCUGUUGCUGAUCCAUCAUUUUCUAUGGGGAAAUCCCCACCACAAAAUGGGAUUUAUGCUUUUGACAAGACUUCUGGUGCUGGGGGACUGGGAGAGGGUACUCCUAAGAGUGAGAGGUCAGACGAUAUGUUUUGUGAUGACAUUUUUGGAGAGUCACCUGCUGGAGUACGUAAAACAGGGAAGGGAGAUGGUUUAACAAUUGAAAGGAGUGGUCUUCAUGACAAUUGGGAUGAUGCAGAAGGGUAUUACAGCUACCGGUUUGGGGAAAUACUUGAUGGCCGAUAUGAAGUUACUGCUGCUCAUGGGAAAGGUGUCUUUUCAACAGUAGUUCGUGCAAAGGAUCUUAAGGCUGGACCUGGUGAUCCAGAAGAUGUGGCAAUAAAAAUUAUACGUAAUAAUGAGCAUAUGCAUAAGGCUGGUAAGGAGGAAUUGAUCAUAUUGAAGAAGCUAGUUGGUGCUGACCCAGAGAACAAGCGCCAUUGUGUUUGUUUCCUUUCAUCUUUUAAGUACCGGAAUCAUCUUUGUUUAGUUUUUGAAUCCCUUCAUAUGAAUCUACGUGAGGUCUUAAAGAAGUUUGGCCGGAACAUUGGACUUAAACUAACGGCAGUGAGAGCAUAUGCAAAACAAGUUUUUAUUGCGCUAAAGCAUCUCAGAAACUGCGGCGUUCUUCACUGUGAUAUAAAGCCGGAUAAUAUGCUGGUGAACGAAGCAAAAAAUGUGCUGAAACUUUGUGAUUUUGGUAAUGCCAUGUUUGCUGGUAAAAAUGAAAUUACGCCUUACCUUGUGAGCCGCUUUUAUCGUGCUCCUGAGAUAAUCCUGGGUUUGACUUAUGAUCAUCCAAUGGAUAUUUGGUCAGUUGGCUGCUGUUUAUUUGAGCUCUAUACAGGGAAAGUUCUUUUUCCCGGUGCUACAAACAAUGACAUGCUUCGCCUCCAUAUGGAAUUAAAAGGUCCAUUCCCGAAGAAGAUGCUUCGAAAGGGAGGUUUCACUGAGCAGCAUUUUGAUCAGGAUUUGAAUUUUCUGGCCACAGAAGAGGAUCCUGUCACAAAGAAGAUUAUAAGGAGGAUGAUCUCUAGCUUCAAGCCAAAAGAUAUAGGUGCAAUUGUCACAAGCUCUCCUGGCGAGGAUCUGAAGAUGUUAGCCAAUUUCAGAGAUCUCCUAGAAAAAGUUUUUGUGUUGGAUCCAGAUAAGAGGAUAACAGUUACACAGGCAUUGACCCAUCCAUUCAUCACGGGCAAGUGAACAAUGAUGCUGAUUUUCUGACUCCAGACACGCUGUUGCGCUAGCUAUUUUUACGUUAUGACUAAAUUUAUAUUGAAAUAUCUAAUCACUGGGCAUUUAUCUGUCUUUAUCUUCUCUAUGCUGGCUAAAGACCUCUGGGAACAAGUCUUGGCGUGGUGGAAAUUGAAAGAGAUGAUGUUUGAUCUGGAGGCCUCUUGGUGAUUCUUUCAGUGGAAUGUUUUCUGUCUCUAUUGAGUUCUUCCAGUGCUAUGAGGCAACCAUUCAGUGCUUUAUAUGCAUAAAAGGCACUCUAAAAAGGUACCAUGGUUUGUUUAUUAGGAGCUUUUUGUGACACCCGUGAAGCUACAUUGUUUGAUUUCUGUUUUGAAAUUGUAUGUUUCUUUUUUAUAAGCUCUUUGUGGUAGUGAUUGGAAUUCAUACAACCAUAAUUCACUACUUGGCAGGAGAAUUGCUUCGGGUCACACCUUGAUUUAUGUGAAUGUGUGUUACAUAUUAUUGGUGAUCAAUUGCUUGUACUUUGUAGCAUCUUAGGAGUAUGAAUAGGGUAAUGCUUGCAUGGAUCUGCUGAACUUUCUCACUAGAGUUGAUAUGUUUGCUGGUUGGACAUCUUAUCAUGUUCUUAGUUGCAUGAUUUAUUAUAUUCAAGUUUAAAUAUGUACAUUUACUUGUGGUGAGGUUGCCGUCAUAAUGAGAGAGCUGUCUAUCAGUGCUUGCUAUGUUUGCUUCUGUUAUUUGUGUUUUUAAAUAAAUACAUAUUCUAAUGAAGUUGCAUUACGUCUGAUCCAUGGUCUGGUCAUUUCGGAGGAGUUUGCACUGGCGGUAUAUUGCUGCAGCCUUGAAGUGAAAGUAGUAUUCAGUGAGUAGGAAUUGGCCAAGCCAAUUCAAGUUAAAGCUUGGGCUCAGGGUUGAGCUUUGUGUAGAUCUCUGUGCCCUCUGGGAUGGGCUUGGACAGAUCUCCAACCGAUCAAACCCACCCUAGUUGCCUCUUUAAUCAACAUAUUGUCCAUAGUUCAUUGUGAUGAUUUUGGCUUCAGUUAUUGUGUCCUCUCUUCUCACCUAUGACCCGGCUGAACAAGCAAUUGUUUUAACUCAAAAUAUAUCGUCGCAAUGCAGGGAUUGAUACAAUCUUUUCUUAAUUAGAUUUAGCUGAAUUGUAGUUGAGAUGCAAAUAACUUCAUUUAUUUAAUUUUAUUGGAGAAAUAUUGUGUAAUGCUACUGUACCCAACCUCUUUUUUUAAUUUAUUUUUAUGUUGAUACACUGAUUCACCAUUGAUGAACACUUUCCUUCAGACUUGGAUACGUGGAGCCCGCACAGAAGUGCAAAAUGUAUGUUUCUAUAUGUAAGAAGGGCUGCAAUGUUUUUGAAGAUUUACAUGUUGAUGCAUGGUAUGCUGAAAGGAUUUUAGUAGAAUGGUAGUGGUGCAGGUGUGUUCGGUAACCUGUUUCUCACUUCCAUUUUUUGGAUGUGUGGGAUGCAAAAACGUGAUAGGGGUAUGGGUGAAGGAUAACUGACUUUAGUUUACUUUUGGUAAGGGGUUGGGCUGUAAUGUAUUAAAUUUUAAGUAUAGAAAGGAAGAGAAAAUUUCAGGAUGACAUUGUUUUCAUUAAAUUGAACGGGGGCAAAGUUUUGGGAGAACUCUUUGGAUUUGCGUUAGAAGUGUGGAUGUAGAGUUUGGAAUUUCUGGAUGGUGUGAGUGUUUGAUUGCAUCUAUAGUUUAUUGUCUAGUUGGCAGUUUGUGGUACACUGAAUAGUUUUUAACGGCUGCUUUAGUUGGGUGGCAGGUCUACCCUUUUCUGAGAGCAAAGUUAUUGGUCUGGGUCCUGGGGUGUCCUCAUAUUAAAUCGUGAGGGGCAUUAGGGGGUUGGAGAUCCUGUAAAUCAUGGGAAUGAGGUAAACACAUACAUCUAGAGCAUUUAGUCCUUUUUAAGAUGUCUGUAGCUCUGUAAAAAAUGUCAAGGUGUGGCCUUUAUGUUGGUGUUGAUCUGAAGGUGUAUUUGUGAUGUGAGAGUAACCAAAAAGGAAAGUCAAGUCCAUAACCAUUAUAUGGGCUACCUUUAUUUUGGGCAUUGGUCAGGCACAUAUUUUGGGCAUUGGUCAGGUUAGGAGUAGUUAAGUCAUUAUAGGAGUUAUAAAAAGUUAGUAUUUAGUUAGAUGUUUCUAUUAUGGGUACAGUUUCGAAAUUCUAAGAAUUCUAUGUUGACUUGGGUUACUAUUCCUUUUUCUGUUCUGAACUUCCAAUCGACCCAUUAGUAGCUUAGAAACUCUUUAUUUUGUUGUAUUCUAAAUUCUAUAUGUAUAUAUGUUUUACAAUAUUAUUAUAAAGGGGCAAGUUUAGAAGAUUCAUGUUAGGCUUUUUGUAUUUUAUUAAAUAAAGGGAAAACUGGAAAUACAAAAGUGUACAAAGGGGACGAGAAGUCCACCAAGAAAAGGAAACAGACAACACAAGAUAACAAAAUAUAUAUGAUGCAUUUCUCCAAUCCAAUCUUUACUAACCAAAAACAAAGGAAUUUCCUUGAAACCAAAUUGUUGCUGGAACCCAAAAGGAUUUUAUUCAAUAAACCCCUCCUUGUCUUUGGACAUUUUCUAAUUUCAAGAGUUUGCUGAGCCGCACUGUCCCUUUUAAUGGGGGUUUGAAGAUCAAAAUCUUUACAUUUCUUUCUAACAAAAUUACUAGAAACACUGCACAAGUUUCAUAUCCUUAAAGAACCUGGUCUUUCUUACCAAGGCCAAACCCCUCAAAAUCUAUCAAAAUCAUCUAAAUGCAACAAUGUUACAUUGACUAUUUUAUUUCCUCCAAAGUGCUUGUGUCCACCAAAUAUAACAAGGGUAAGGAUGUGGGUUAUGUGUCCGACAGUUGGAUCAAGUUUUUACGAUAUUUGAAGUACUCACAUUUGUUAGUAAAGAAACAAUUCUAGCCUCUCACACGGAUGAGGGAUAGAAAAUUUAUGUUCUCUGAAUCAUAUUUAAUUUCAAGUACAUUUCUACAUGAUUUACAACAUUCUAUUAAGAAUACUAUACAAUAUGCAAUAUAUAUAUAUAUAUUAGUGUCUAUGAUGUGUCCCCAUGCCUAUAUCUGACUUUUGGAUACAUAUCUACGGGCACAACUUGGGGGGGCCUAACUUGAAGUAUCUGAGCCAGCCUGAAAUUUUUUAGGGCUUGGGUAACAUAUUUAUGAAUUUAGUGUGAACUUGGACAAAAAUUUAAUAGCCCAAAUUAAAUUUGAAUUUGGGUUUGGGUUUGAGCAAAGACAUCCUGAAGCCCAAAUUAUACACAUAGAUAUAUAAAAAUAUUAAAUACAUAUAUAUAUUAUUAGCUAUUGGAUGAUUUUAAAAUAAGUUGGACCUUUAGAUCAUAUUCGCUAUAUAUUUUCCUCACACUCAAAAAUGACAAAGACCACCACAGCGGUGCAACUGUUGAUUUGCAUCUCUCAUUUUCUGUCACUCUCAUCAGAUACAAGUGGGGUUGGUGGUCAGGCUUGGGCAACUCUUUAAACAACUUGGGUUUUGCUUGGUAAUUUUUCAACUCAACCAAACUUGCCCGAGUUGCACCCUUAUAUAUAUCCUAAUAUCUUGAGAUUUAGGUUUCCAAAGGUUUUUGAUGCUUGGACACACAAUUGCAUUCAAUACUCAUACCCUAUGUUACCUAGAACCUAUGUUACAUGGACUCGGGUACGAGUAUCGGGUGGAGGUGUGUAUCUAAACGUUGGACCUUCUUAAAUUUAAAUCUUGGGAUAAGUAUCCAAAAUUGGAUAUGGGUAAAGGGACACGCCGUAUGCACAUAUAUAUUGCAUUGUAUAUAGUAUUCUUGGAUGAGAUGUUUUAAAUUAUGUAGAAAUAUAUUAGAAAUUAAAUAUGGUUCAGGAAAAUUAUGAAAUUUUUAUAUAUAAUUUAUGUGAGGCUAAAAAUAUUGUUUUACGAACAAAUGUGAGUUUCUUCUUCUUCUUCUUCUUCUUCUUCUUCUUCUUCUUCAUGUAUUGUUACAAAUUGAAGGAUCUGAGUGUCUAAAUUGGGUAUGAGUGUUAAACACAUAUUCCACACCCUUACCCUUGUCAUAUCUGGUGGACACAGGUGUUGUGGGGGAAAUACAGGUGUUGUGGGGGAAAUGAAAGAGUCCUUGUAACACAGCCUAGAACGUGGAUCGUUCCGGUAUAUGGAACGGGUCUAAAAUGUGGUAUGAUAGGAGUACACUUAUAUAUAUUAAACUUAAGAAUUUAAAAUACUUUUAGAGUAAUUUUUUUUUUAAAACUAUUAGGUAUCCAAUAUAUAUAUGUAUAUUUCAUGUAAUAUAUCAUUUUUAUGAAAAUUAGGACCCAUUUUUGAUGUCUUUGUCUUGUUAAAACUUAAUUCACCUUAGAUUUUAGUUCAUAUAUUUGAUUUUUUGUCUCUUAAGGUAAUAUUUAAGGAAAUAUAUUGGAAAAAAAAUUUGGUAUCGCUUCAGGCCACUAAAUUUACCGUUUUGGAAUGAAAGUAUACCAUGUUUCGAAACGUGCAUAUCAAUACAUAAUUCACUAGGGUAUUAUUGUUUUCAGGUAACAUAGCUCUUACCUAAGGCUGCAAAUGAACUGUGCUGUUCAUGAACAACUCGAGCUUGACUUGUUUAAAGCUCGUUUGAGCUCGGUUUGUUUACUAAAUGAACGAGCUUGAGUUUGAUUUUUAGGCUCGUUCAUUAUUCGAGCCGAGCUCGAGUAGCUCUAAGCUUAACUCGAUAAGGCUUGUGAACGUAAUGAUGUGAACGUAAUGAAAAUAAAUUAAUAUUUAUUAUUAAUAAUAUAUCAAAUAAAAUUCAUUAAUUUAUUUAUUUUUCUGUUUGUGUUUGGUGUUUAUGUAAAUUUAUAUAUUUGAUUGAUGAAAUUUAUUAUUAAUAUAAACAUGCUUGUAUAUUUUGCUUAUAAUUUUUUUAUUUGUUUAAUCUUAAUAUGUAAAUUAGUUUAAGUAUAAUUGUUUUUUUCCUAGCUCGAGCAGCUCAAACUCGGCUCGUUUAUGUAAUUGAGCUAGCUUGAGCCGAGCUUGAGUUUCUCAAAUAUUUGACGAGCCAAGCUCAAGGUAAUUUAUUUAAGCUCGACCUGAGCUUGGCCCAACCAAGCUCAAUUAAUUAUUAGUAAACAAGCUUGAACACUCAAAAGUUUGGCUCAGCUCGUUUGUACCCUAUUGUACCUAAGUCCCUGUAGCAUAACUAGUCUACCCAUCCAAAAUCCCACUUUGGUGGUUCCAAGAUUUAGCUAGCUGCCUUUGACACUGCAUUAGGUGGGGUCCCACAUUCAUUGAAAAAUUACAACAGUUAAGUACUGGUAUCAGACAUUGUAUGCCCAAAUAAAUACACCUAUAAUCCCUAGGACUUGUAAUAAGAUAAAAUGGAUGCUUCAGCAAUUCUAUUAUAUUUGUAAGUUUCACAUUCCAAUUUCCAUGAGCAAAGAAUUAAAUGAACCCAACCCCGCUCAUUAAAAUUUUUCAACCUUAGAGGUUGAAAAAAAAACCAAUCCUUCUAGUCUGUCAAGUAGAAUCUGUUCAAUACACAAAUCUGCUUUAAAAAACAUUAAAACAAAAAAUAAAAAAACAAACAAAACAAGAACAAAAACAUGAAACAAGAAAUAAAAUAAUCCUAUGACCAGUUGCACAUGUUCUUGAUUCAAAUUAAGAAAUAUUUCCUUGUGUACGUGCAUGGGCCCGACCUUGCUACAUGGCAUCGCCUCAUCACUAACACAUAAUGUGUCAGCUUCAAUCGACAACAAGUGAACCAAUCAGCAACCUGAAAGCUAUUGUUGUGCUUGGCCUUGUUAGAUUUGUGAGGCGCUCGGUCCAACCUUUGAGUAGGAAACUCUUCUUUGGGUGACAUUUUUUUACUCAAAAACUCAAUUCCGCGCUUUUAAUUUUCGAGGAAAAACAAAACUCACUUCCUUCGAGGAAGAAAUUCACUCCCAAUUGAGAGAGAAUGUGUUACAUAUACAAAUCUCAAAGAAACAAAGAAAAACAACUCAAAUUCAUUCUAAUACUUUCUAUUUACAUAAUAUCUGUUUAUAUUUAACAAAGACAAGUUAUAGUUGACAUCUAUUUCUAGUAUUUAUUCAUAUUUUAACACAUAUAUUACAACUAAGUAGAAAAAUAAUUGUUGCUAUAUGUUUAUAUAUUUGAUAUAUAAGUAUAUACAUGAUCGUAUAGGUGCUCAUAACUUCAGAAACUUCUAUAUGCCCACACCCUUGCCCCUGCUCCUGCUCCCACUUCAUGCAACUAAGGUCAGCCUGGUGGGUUGCUCACCGAGCAAGACCUCAACCUUAAAGACAACAUGGAUGUGUUUCCUAGGCUGGAAGUAGGGCCUGGGCACCCUGCUAGAGGAUUUGUGAAUUGAAGACUAGAGUUCAGGAUUGUCUGGAUGCUCUCGCUGAGCUCCCCUCUCAGAAGUGUGGCACGCUCAGACCAAUCCAAAACAUGUGAUACCUUGGUGAUUGUAUCAUGCCUAUCUCUGAAUCACACUGCUAGUGACCAAUAAGAAUGUAUCAUACUUAUACCAGUUCACUUAUGAUACGCUCCCGAAAGUUACAAAGUUAAUCAAGUUGCCCUCCAUUUUGCCUACGUAAGGGGGUUGUGCGAUGUGUUCUCAAAUGAGUUGGCUCCCCUAGGCUCGUCACCCGAUAUAAAAGGAACCUCCAUGCAUGUACAACAAACUCAAGCAUCCCUGCUCUUCGGCGUAUCAAAUUUCCACUGCCACUCUCCCUCUCUGCUAACGCUACCCUUGGCUCUCUCCUCUACCACGUCCAGUGACCUCCUAUCAUACCAAUGUUUGCCAUCUUCCCGAAGGGCACUCCUCAGCCAACUCAUGCCACAUCACCCACAUACUUACUAAGGACAAGGAAACUCUAAUCACAAGAAGCUCUUUCUCCUGCCAACCUCAUAACCACAGUGCCACACAAGAAAAACCCACCAUUAGAAUGUGAUAAUAUGUGAUAACCCAUGCAUUUACAAUGAUGGUCCAUUUUAAGGAAACAUUAGCACUUAUUCCAACACAAGUAUAUUAGAGUCAUGCAUUUAAUACUAGUCCAUCACCAAGUCAUAAUUAGUAGCAACAUUUUAAACACAAUGCAUUAGAAGUACAUAUUGGCCUUUAAAGUGCUUAAUACACCACUGAAUAUUAGAACCAAAAUAAAGAUUGAAGCCCUUGCUAAUUGAUACAGGAUAGCCUUGAUAUGCCCUAUCCUCGGGACGAACUAUGUGGAAGGAGUGGUGGGACUAAAGACAAAAUAAUAGAUUCCAAAACUUUGGUUCAGAAGUUGAUGGCAAAAGUGCUUCUAAGUUUUUAACAGACCUGUAAUAGCAGAAAUUCAAUAAAUUAGCUGAAGAGGUGGGCACACUGGAGGGAUGAAAAAAUAAAAGGAAUGCAAAAAGUAUUCAAAGUAAAAACUAAUUUUUUUACACUUUUUCCUUGCCAUUUCUUUUCCCUCCUCAAAUUCACGAUUCAAACAAAUCAUUAAGGGCCACCCAAUUAUUUUUCAUAUUAUACAUUUUCCUCGACGUUUUAAUCUUUGGUCAUUGUUCAUAUGAUAGUGGAACCUUGUCUUUUUAGAACUACCAACAUUACUUUACCAUUUUGAUGUGUAUAGCAUAUGGGAUAUAAUUCAAACUUCAUUGCUUGAUGUCCCAGCCUGCAAUUAGAUUGUCAUGUUGUCAUUUUCAGAAAACUAGAAAAAUAUUGAAAUUAUUGUUUACAUGUUUGGCCUACAAAUACUUAUCCUCAACUUUUAGGUUUAGUUUGGAUGGUAGGAAGUUUGAGGGGAGAAUAGGAAUGUGAUUUGGGGUUCCCAAGAUUCUAUCAUGUGGAUUGGAGUGGAAUUAAAAAUGAUUCCUGAUUAUUUAUCAUGCUGGAAUUCACUUCUCCAAACAAAGCAAGAAUCUAAUCCCUACAAUCUCCAUUGUAAUCUCCCAUACUUGAAGGAAUGUGAGUAAAAAAAGUAAUAGGUCCACAAUAUUUAAUAUUUUGUCAUUUAUUACUGGUAAUGAGAUUUUUCAUUUGUUUAUUUUUUGAUUUCUGCCAUCCAAACCUAGUUUCAGUGUUGCUACACAUUUUUUCUAUGUGAUGUUGGUCUUCUAUGUUGUCAACAUGUCUAUUUGAGCAAGUUUGGUCACUUUUGUUUCAAAAAUCAUUUUUAUGGGGGAAAUGGGUUUCAAGAAAUCAUGUUUUCUUACUUUUCCCCCCAUUAUCUAUCUAUUUAUUUUGUAUUAUUUAAUUGUUUUUUAUCCGAGUGCUAUUGAUAAUGCCAUGAAGUCCCAUCCGUUGAACCCCAAAUGCUGGCCCAUGGUGGGGUGGUGGGUUUGAGACCCUUGGAUUAGAGGGGAUUCAAAGGGAGAGUUGGAGGGGAGGAUGAUCCAGUUUAGGGCAGGCCUUUUCAGUGCGGGGGCCUCUAUGGCAGUUUCUUCUGGGCAGGAAGUUGGGUGAAUGGACCCCUAUCAAUGGGUAAUGGAAAAGGUUUAAAGGACGGCUAAUUUCUUGAGUUCCUGUCGAGGGGUUUGAAAAUGAUGCAUUGAAGCUGAUAAUGGCAAAUCAAACGAAAACGAUGCCAAAGAUUGAUGAUGUGACUGCAAGGAGGAGCGGGUGAAGUAAUGCUAGAUGUUGGAAAGAUUUAGCACGGGUCAUGUUUUGCUAUAAAUUGAAGUAAAGUUGGUUACUUGCCCUUGAAUCAUUGUAUUUAUUGGAACAUUACUAUUAUAUUUUUAAAUUAUAGAUUAAACCAUAGGUGGUUGGUUCUUAUAACUGAACAGUGUUUGCUUAUU